CAUGGACCAGUGGGGUCCCUCGGCCUGGCCUGUGCCCUCUCGCAAUCUGGGACCCUCGGAGGAUGUCAGGGAGCCAGUUUUGGCCCAAUCCUGCAGACCAGGCCAAGGGACCCCACUGGUGCACA
Molecule: microRNA precursor, 125 nt
Filed under: Myotis davidii
Lineage: Eukaryota; Metazoa; Chordata; Mammalia; Chiroptera; Vespertilionidae
Description: mir-9193 microRNA precursor family
Rfam family: mir-9193 microRNA precursor family
Source: Rfam by way of RNAcentral